CCCUCAUCACCCAACCAUCAGUUUUCAAACUUGAAGAUAGAUUUUAAACUUCCCCAUCUCUGCACUGUAAAGAAAUGGGAGUACAAUCAGAAAAUACCCUUGGGAGUACUGGUUAGCUUUUGUUCUUGAAUUCCUCAGCUCAUUAGCCGAAAAAAGAAAUCUAUCCAAUCUUGAAGAGUUUUCCAGAUUAUUACCCUUUGUCCAAGGAUCCUCAUUAAGAUGAGAAUCUACAAGCUUCUAAUGAUCUAUAAAAUGAGAGAAGUCCAUCAUAAUCCUAGUGAGUAUAUUGUUCUUUCUUUUU
Molecule: long non-coding RNA, 301 nt
Filed under: Nicotiana benthamiana
Lineage: Eukaryota; Viridiplantae; Streptophyta; Magnoliopsida; Solanales; Solanaceae
Description: long non-coding RNA (NBEN_LNC029453)
Source: RNAcentral